UUACAACACUGGUUCUUGUACAAUCACCAAAGUUAAGCAACAUUGAGCUUGGUCAGGACCUAGGUGAGUGACUGCCUGGGAAUACCAGGUGCUGUAAU
Non-coding RNA from Acanthosepion pharaonis, 98 nucleotides. NCBI's taxonomy places the organism in Eukaryota, Metazoa, Mollusca, Cephalopoda, Sepiida, Sepiidae. The record is from the annotation of a GenBank genome assembly.